AGCGAACGCUGGCGGCGUGCCUAACACAUGCAAGUCGAGCGAGAAAGAGGACUUCGGUCUUUUAGUACAGCGGCGAACGGGUGAGUAACACGUGGGCAAUCGUCCCCCGGAUGGGGAUAACCCAGCGAAAGUUGGGCUAAUACCCAAUAAGACCACGGAAAGUCAUUCCUGAGGUCAAAGGGUGCUUCUUUUGGGAGCAUCCGCUAGGGGAGGAGCCCGCGGCCUAUCAGCUUGUUGGUAGGGUAAUGGCCUACCAAGGCAAAGACGGGUAGCUGGUCUGAGAGGAUGACCAGCCACACGGGGACUGAGACACGGCCCCGACUCCUACGGGAGGCAGCAGUGGGGAAUAUUGGGCAAUGGGGGAAACCCUGACCCAGCGACGCCGCGUGGGUGAUGAAGGCCUUCGGGUCGUAAAGCCCUGUCAAGAGGAAAGAACGUCUUUAAGGCAAAGAGCCUUGAAGGAUGACGGUACCUCUGAAGGAAGCACCGGCCAACUCCGUGCCAGCAGCCGCGGUAA
RNAcentral lists this ribosomal RNA (517 nucleotides) under uncultured delta proteobacterium. RNAcentral's name for it is "bacterial SSU rRNA". It matches the Rfam family "Bacterial small subunit ribosomal RNA", at positions 29 to 523 of the family's 1533-position model. Lineage: Bacteria; Deltaproteobacteria. The record is from RNAcentral.